RNAcentral lists this ribosomal RNA (881 nucleotides) under uncultured Bacillota bacterium. RNAcentral's name for it is "bacterial SSU rRNA". It matches the Rfam family "Bacterial small subunit ribosomal RNA", at positions 23 to 917 of the family's 1533-position model. The record is from RNAcentral. Lineage: Bacteria; Bacillati; Bacillota.
CUCAGGACGAACGCUGGCGGCGUGCCUAACACAUGUUAGUCGAACGGAGCUCCGCCCUUCGGGACGGAACUUAGUGGCGAACGGGUGAGUAACGCGUGAAGAACCUGCCUUUCAGUGGGGGACAACAGUCGGGAACGACUGCUAAUACCGCAUGAUGUUCUUUGGGGGCAUCUCUAUGGAACCAAAGCUUAAUGUGCUGAAAGAUGGCUUCGCGUCUGAUUAGCUAGUUGGCGGGGUAACGGCCCACCAAGGCGACGAUCAGUAGCCGGUCUGAGAGGAUGAACGGCCACAUUGGGACUGAGAUACGGCCCAGACUCCUACGGGAGGCAGCAGUGGGGAAUAUUGGGCAAUGGGGGAAACCCUGACCCAGCAACGCCGCGUGAAGGAAGAAGGCCUUCGGGUUGUAAACUUCUUUUACCAGGGACGAAGGACGUGACGGUACCUGGAGAAAAAGCAACGGCUAACUACGUGCCAGCAGCCGCGGUAAUACGUAGGUUGCAAGCGUUGUCCGGAUUUACUGGGUGUAAAGGGCGUGUAGGCGGAGGCGCAAGUUGGGAGUGAAAUCUAUGGGCUCAACCCAUAAACUGCUCUCAAAACUGUGCCCCUUGAGUAUCGGAGAGGCAAGCGGAAUUCCUAGUGUAGCGGUGAAAUGCGUAGAUAUUAGGAGGAACACCAGUGGCGAAGGCGGCUUGCUGGACGACAACUGACGCUGAGGCGCGAAAGCGUGGGGAGCAAACAGGAUUAGAUACCCUGGUAGUCCACGCUGUAAACGAUGAAUACUAGGUGUGGGAGGACUGACCCCUUCCGUGCCGCAGUUAACACAAUAAGUAUUCCACCUGGGGAGUACGACCGCAAGGUUGCAACUCAAAUGAAUUGACGGA